Molecule: ribosomal RNA, 460 nt
Filed under: uncultured bacterium
Lineage: Bacteria
Description: partial 16S ribosomal RNA
Rfam family: Bacterial small subunit ribosomal RNA
Source: RNAcentral
CCUACGGGUGGCUGCAGUGAGGAAUAUUGGUCAAUGGACGAGAGUCUGAACCAGCCAAGUAGCGUGAAGGAUGGCUGCCCUAUGGGUUGUAAACUUCUUUUAUAUGGGAAUAAAAUGUUCCACGUGUGGGAUUUUGUAUGUACCAUAUGAAUAAGGAUCGGCUAACUCCGUGCCAGCAGCCGCGGUAAUACGGAGUAUCCGAGCGUUAUCCGGAUUUAUGGGGUUUAAAGGGAGCGCAGGUGGAUGGUUAAGUCAGUUGUGAAGGUUUGCGGCUCAACCGUAAAAUUGCAGUGGAAACUGGCAGUCUGGAGUACAGUAGAGGUGGGCGGAAUUCGUGGUGUAGCGGUGAAAUGCUUAGAUAUCACGAAGAACUCCGAUGGCGAAGGCAGCUCACUGGACUGCAACUGACACUGAGGCUCGAAAGUGUGGGGAUCAAACAGGAUUAGAUACCCUUGUAGUC